Molecule: ribosomal RNA, 417 nt
Filed under: Astalotermes sp. SA2
Lineage: Eukaryota; Metazoa; Arthropoda; Insecta; Blattodea; Termitidae
Description: partial 12S ribosomal RNA
Source: RNAcentral
CCCUAUUAUUUUAGAACGUUAAUUUUUGUUUGUCUGAGUAGUAUUAGUUAUGUUCUUGAAACUUAAAGAAUUUGGCGGUAUCUUAUUCCAUCCAGAGGAAUCUGUCUCGUUAUCGAUAGUCCACGUUGGACCUUACUUAGAUUGCUAUUAGGUUUGUAUACCGCCGUUUAUUGAUUAUCUUUUUAGAGUUAUUAUAAUUUUCUAGUUUCUUUAUUUUGAUUUAUUUCAGGUCAAGGUGCAGCUUGUUUCUAAGUGGAUGAUGGAUUACAUUGUUAUUUGUGUUAAAUGGAUUAUUAGUUUGAAUAUUAAUAUGAAAUUGGAUUUGGUUGUAAUGUUUUGUAGAUUGUUUUCAUGGUAUUUGGUUCUGGGAUAUGUACACAUCGCCCGUCGCUCUCGUUUGUUUUAAUGAGAUAAGUC